UACGAAGGGUGCUAGCGUUGUUCGGAAUCACUGGGCGUAAAGCGCGCGUAGGCGGCUAUUCAAGUCAGAGGUGAAAGCCCGGGGCUCAACCCCGGGAGGCGGGUGGAUACUGGUCAGCUCGAGUCCGGAAGAGGAGUGUGGAAUUCCUGGUGUAGCGGUGAAAUGCGCAGAUAUCAGGAGGAACACCGAUGGCGAAGGCAGCACUCUGGGACGGUACUGACGCUGAGACGCGAAAGCGUGGGGAGCAAACAGG
RNAcentral lists this ribosomal RNA (253 nucleotides) under uncultured bacterium. RNAcentral's name for it is "partial 16S ribosomal RNA". It matches the Rfam family "Bacterial small subunit ribosomal RNA", at positions 524 to 776 of the family's 1533-position model. The record is from RNAcentral.